UAAAGUUUUGAAUCACAUAUAAGCGGGGAGCCCGUCACAGUAAAACUGCACUUACAACAUGGAUUUCGAAAGUUCGCAUAUGAAUUAAUACUAUUUAACGAUGGGUACAAUAUGUACUAGGUUUAUCCUGGCACACCUAGUACAUAUUGUACCUAUGAUUCAUAUGCGAAAAUUCGAAAUUGGUGUAAGUGCAGUUUUACUGUGACGGGCUCCAAGGCUAAUAGAAUAAUUAUGAUCUAUUUAUGUAAUAUUCUUUUGUAAGAUUACAAACAUUUUUGGAAAUUUGUGGCAUAAUACAAAAAAAAAAGAAGGUCUUGCAAUUUUGUCACAGAUUGUUCCUAUUUUUGAUAUAAAUUAAUAAAAAAAAAAAUAAUAAGACUUUAAUUUGCUUUUUAAAAAAGUGAAGAAAAAAAAAUUAGUUAUUUUUUUGUUUGAUUAUACAGGGUGACAUAUGUUUGAAAUUCGAAAAAUAACUUUUAUCGAGAUAAAACUGCUUUAAGCAAAAAAUAUUGGGUGUGUAGGUGCACAUCUUUUGCAGACAUCAAAUUUAACUUAGAUUUUCUAG
This is a long non-coding RNA of Chrysoperla carnea, 565 nucleotides long. RefSeq lists it as uncharacterized. The record is from RefSeq and is a predicted model, not a curated record. The transcript has 3 exons. NCBI's taxonomy places the organism in Eukaryota, Metazoa, Arthropoda, Insecta, Neuroptera, Chrysopidae.